UCCCCUGUGGUGUAAUGGGCAACACGGUCCGCUUUGGACGGAUUAUUCCAGGUUCGAGUCCUGGCAGGGGAGCCC
Molecule: transfer RNA, 75 nt
Filed under: Streptomyces albus subsp. chlorinus
Lineage: Bacteria; Bacillati; Actinomycetota; Actinomycetes; Kitasatosporales; Streptomycetaceae
Description: tRNA-Gln
Rfam family: tRNA
About the family: Transfer RNA (tRNA) molecules are approximately 80 nucleotides in length. Their secondary structure includes four short double-helical elements and three loops (D, anti-codon, and T loops).
Source: RNAcentral